Molecule: ribosomal RNA, 254 nt
Filed under: uncultured bacterium
Lineage: Bacteria
Description: partial 16S ribosomal RNA
Rfam family: Bacterial small subunit ribosomal RNA
Source: RNAcentral
UACGAAGGGGGCUAGCGUUGCUCGGAAUCACUGGGCGUAAAGGGCGCGUAGGCGGCCAGUUCAAGUCAGUUGUGAAAUCUCCGAGCUUAACUCGGAAAGGUCAACUGAUACUGCUCGGCUAGAGUGCGGAAGGGGCAACUGGAAUUCUUGGUGUAGCGGUGAAAUGCGUAGAUAUCAAGAGGAACACCUGCGGCGAAGGCGGGUUGCUGGGCCGACACUGACGCUGAUGCGCGAAAGCUAGGGGAGCGAACGGG